RNAcentral lists this ribosomal RNA (448 nucleotides) under uncultured bacterium. RNAcentral's name for it is "bacterial SSU rRNA". It matches the Rfam family "Bacterial small subunit ribosomal RNA", at positions 329 to 794 of the family's 1533-position model. The record is from RNAcentral.
UCCCAGACUCCUACGGGAGGCAGCAGUGGGGAAUAUUGCACAAUGGGGGAAACCCUGAUGCAGCGACGCCGCGUGAGUGAAGAAGUAAUUCGUUAUGUAAAGCUCUAUCAGCAGGGAAGAAAAUGACGGUACCUGAGUAAGAAGCCCCGGCUAACUACGUGCCAGCAGCCGCGGUAAUACGUAGGGGGCAAGCGUUAUCCGGAUUUACUGGGUGUAAAGGGAGCGUAGACGGCGGUGCAAGCCAGAUGUGAAAGCCCGGGGCUCAACCCCGGGACUGCAUUUGGAACUGUGCUGCUAGAGUGUCGGAGAGGCAGGCGGAAUUCCUAGUGUAGCGGUGAAAUGCGUAAAUAUUAGGAGGAACACCAGUGGCGAAGGCGGCCUGCUGGGCUUUAACUGACGCUGAGGCUCGAAAGCGUGGGUAGCAAACAGGAUUAGAUACCCGAGUAGC